RNAcentral lists this ribosomal RNA (520 nucleotides) under uncultured Glomus. RNAcentral's name for it is "SSU rRNA". It matches the Rfam family "Eukaryotic small subunit ribosomal RNA", at positions 569 to 1091 of the family's 1831-position model. The record is from RNAcentral. Lineage: Eukaryota; Fungi; Glomeromycota; Glomeromycetes; Glomerales; Glomeraceae.
AGCAGCCGCGGUAAUUCCAGCUCCAAUAGCGUAUAUUAAAGUUGUUGCAGUUAAAAAGCUCGUAGUUGAAUUUCGGGAUCAAUACGUCGGUCGUGCUUUCGGGUACGUACUGGCGUCAUUGGUUUCUCCUUUCUGACGAACCAUGAUGUCAUUAAUUUGGUGUUAUGGGGAGUUAGGACUGUUACUUUGAAAAAUUAGAGUGUUUAAAGCAGGCAUUAGCUUGAAUACAUUAGCAUGGAAUAAUGAAAUAGGACGUUCGAUCCUAUUUUGUUGGUUUCUAGGAUCAACGUAAUGAUUAAUAGGGAUAGUUGGGGGCAUUAGUAUUCAAUUGUCAGAGGUGAAAUUCUUAGAUUUAUUGAGGACUAACUACUGCGAAAGCAUUUGCCAAGGAUGUUUUCAUUAAUCAAGAACGAAAGUUAGGGGAUCGAAGACGAUCAGAUACCGUCGUAGUCUUAACCAUAAACUAUGCCGACUAGGGAUCGGAUGAUGUUAAUUUUUAAUGACUCAUUCGGCGCUUACG